UAGGGAAUAUUGCACAAUGGGCGAAAGCCUGAUGCAGCGACGCCGCGUGAGCGAAGAAGUUCUUCGGAACGUAAAGCUCUGUCCUUGGGGACGAAAAAAAUGACGGUACCCAAGGAGGAAGCACCGGCUAACUCCGUGCCAGCAGCCGCGGUAAUACGGGGGGUGCAAGCGUUGUCCGGAAUCAUUGGGCGUAAAGCGUUCGUAGGCGGUAUAUCAAGUCUGGUGUUAAAGCCCGGGGCUCAACUCCGGUUCGGCACUGGAUACUGGUAAGCUAGAAUGCGGUAGAGGUAAGGGGAAUUCCUGGUGUAGCGGUGAAAUGCGUAGAUAUCAGGAGGAACAUCGGUGGCGAAAGCGCCUUACUGGGCCGUAAUUGACGCUGAGGAACGAAAGCCGGGGGAGCAAAUG
This 405-nucleotide ribosomal RNA is filed under the name uncultured bacterium. RNAcentral describes it as "bacterial SSU rRNA". It matches the Rfam family "Bacterial small subunit ribosomal RNA", at positions 355 to 774 of the family's 1533-position model. The record is from RNAcentral.